UUGCAAGCCUCCCAUGUUCUUGGGUCUGGGCUGACCUUGCACAUUCCUACAGUGCUUGCAAGAACAGUUUUGAAAUGGUUUGAGGCCUUGAUCUGCUCCAUCUACAGAGCAAGGUUAUAGAAAUUUCACACAGUU
Molecule: small nucleolar RNA, 135 nt
Organism: Choloepus hoffmanni (Hoffmann's two-fingered sloth)
Lineage: Eukaryota; Metazoa; Chordata; Mammalia; Pilosa; Megalonychidae
Source: Ensembl